CCUACGGGAGACAGCAGUGGGGAAUAUUGGGCAAUGGGCGCAAGCCUGACCCAGCAACGCCGCGUGAAGGAAGAAGGCUUUCGGGUUGUAAACUUCUGUCAAGAGGGAAGAGCAGAAGCCGGUAUCAUUUGAAUAAGCUACGGCUAACUACGUGCCAGCAGCCGCGGUAAUACGGAGGUGGCAAGCGUUGUCCGGAUUUACUGGGUGUAAUGGGCGUGCAGGCGGGAUGACAAGUCAAAGGUGAAAUCCCGCGGCUCAACGGCGGAACUGCCUUUGAAACUGGUUAGCUUGAGUACCUGAGAGGACAGCGGAAUUCCAGGUGUAGGGGUGAAAUGCGUAGAUAUAAGGAGGAACAUCAGUGGCGAAGGCGAAUAACUGGACGACAACUGACGGUGAGGCGCGAAAGCGUGGGGAGCAAACAGGAUUAGAUACCCGGGUAGUC
This 442-nucleotide ribosomal RNA is filed under the name uncultured bacterium. RNAcentral describes it as "partial 16S ribosomal RNA". It matches the Rfam family "Bacterial small subunit ribosomal RNA", at positions 338 to 795 of the family's 1533-position model. The record is from RNAcentral.